This 206-nucleotide ribosomal RNA is filed under the name Salmonella enterica subsp. enterica serovar Worthington str. BCH-5715. Its description in RNAcentral is "partial 23S ribosomal RNA". It matches the Rfam family "Bacterial large subunit ribosomal RNA", at positions 1470 to 1671 of the family's 2925-position model. The record is from RNAcentral. Lineage: Bacteria; Pseudomonadati; Pseudomonadota; Gammaproteobacteria; Enterobacterales; Enterobacteriaceae.
GGACGGAGAAGGCUAUGUUGGCCGGGCGACGGUUGUCCCGGUUUAAGCGUGUAGGUGUGUGUUCCAGGUAAAUCCGGUUCACUUUAACACUGAGGCGUGACGACGAGGCACUACGGUGCUGAAGCAACAAAUGCCCUGCUUCCAGGAAAAGCCUCUAAGCAUCAGGUAACAUCAAAUCGUACCCCAAACCGACACAGGUGGUCAGG